UUCCUCCUCGGGUUUCUCGCUUCAGGCUGAGGGUUUGCUACCGAACCCGGAGCCUGGGACGCCAAGGAGGGCGCUUGGAGAUCCAAGUGCUCCGAGGAGCCUGGACUUGGGCAAGCAGAUGAGGAAAUUGAGGGAGACAGAGAUGAAGUGACCUGCCCACUGUCACACCAGUUUAAAUGAAAAUCAAAGUGGAAGAAGUUGAAGUUAUAUGCCCAUUGUCUAAUGGCUAAUCAGUAUUAAAGGCAGACUAGACCCAGAAGGCCUGAUUUUCACUCAUUUUUCUUUGCACAUAACUCUUAUCUAUCUCACAGAUGGACUGCCUCAAGGAUCACAUGAGAUGUUUUUAUGCAAAGGGCUUUGUAAUAAA
Long non-coding RNA from Sarcophilus harrisii (Tasmanian devil), 367 nucleotides. RefSeq lists it as uncharacterized. NCBI's taxonomy places the organism in Eukaryota, Metazoa, Chordata, Mammalia, Dasyuromorphia, Dasyuridae. The record is from RefSeq and is a predicted model, not a curated record. The transcript has 3 exons.